Molecule: transfer RNA, 63 nt
Filed under: Eurytrema pancreaticum
Lineage: Eukaryota; Metazoa; Platyhelminthes; Trematoda; Plagiorchiida; Dicrocoeliidae
Description: tRNA-Glu
Source: RNAcentral
GUUGAUCAAGUGUUGUUUGCAUGAUGGUUUUUCGUACCAUUGGUAGGUUUGAUGUGCCUGAUC